CCCUUAGGGCCUGACACUGCCUAGUUUGGAGACAAGACCACGGAGCAGCCUUGCCAAGGUGGCAGUGCCAAGGGAAGCUUGGUGGGCCAGGGGACAAGUAGGCAGACAGUAAGCUGAGCUCGCCAGCAUGUGUCUGUGAAAACAGGGUCCUGUUAUGAACCCCUUGUUCUAUUAGCUCCAACUCUUGAGCUCCCAAGUGCCUCAUUUAGCCCCACACGAAGCUCACUGGAGGGGAGGAGCCAUGGGAGGCUCUCAGGAGAGGAGUGUGGACUGAAGAUGCGCGCUGAUGAGAACCAGAGAGCCCCGUCAGGCCUCUAAGAGUAAAUGGAGGAUCCUGGAAGGAUGCAGCAUCAAGGAAGACCUUGCUGGAACAAUCCCUGGGCAUCUAAGCCA
This 393-nucleotide long non-coding RNA is filed under the name Mus spicilegus (steppe mouse). Its description in RNAcentral is "lncRNA (ENSMSIG00000021470.1)". Lineage: Eukaryota; Metazoa; Chordata; Mammalia; Rodentia; Muridae. The record is from RNAcentral.